Molecule: regulatory RNA element, 60 nt
Organism: Corynebacterium diphtheriae NCTC 13129
Lineage: Bacteria; Bacillati; Actinomycetota; Actinomycetes; Mycobacteriales; Corynebacteriaceae
Rfam family: L31-Corynebacteriaceae ribosomal protein leader
Source: Rfam
ACUCGAGCACGAUCUUCACCGUGAUGUGGAGAACCGACUCGAAGUAUCAAUCCUGAGGGA